RNAcentral lists this ribosomal RNA (376 nucleotides) under Amblyomma dissimile (iguana tick). Its description in RNAcentral is "partial large subunit ribosomal RNA". The record is from RNAcentral. Lineage: Eukaryota; Metazoa; Arthropoda; Arachnida; Ixodida; Ixodidae.
GUAUUGUAAUAAGACUUUAAUUGAGUGCUAAAAGAAUGGAAUUACAAAAAAAGGCUUUUUUAAUUUUAAAAAUUAAAAUUAUUUUUUUUUGUGAAGAAACAAAAAUUUAAAUUAAAGACAAGAAGACCCUAAGAAUUUUUUUUUUUANUUAAAAUAAUAUNUUUAUUUUAAAAAUUUAAUUGGGGCGAUUAAUUAAUAUUAAAAACUUUAUUAACAAAAAAAAAUGAUCCAUUAUUAAUGAUUAUUUGAUUAAAAUACUCUAGGGAUAACAGCGUAAUAAUUUUUGAUAGUUCUUAUAGAAAAAAUAGUUUGCGACCUCGAUGUUGGAUUAGGAUUCUUUUUUAAUGAAGAAGUUAAAAAAAGAAGUUUGUUCAAC